This 63-nucleotide transfer RNA is filed under the name Rhynchocinetes durbanensis. RNAcentral describes it as "tRNA-Gly". Lineage: Eukaryota; Metazoa; Arthropoda; Malacostraca; Decapoda; Rhynchocinetidae. The record is from RNAcentral.
AUUUUUCUAAUAUAAAAAGUAUAGUUAACUUCCAAUUAACAAGUCUAGGUGCUAGGAAAAAUA